Molecule: ribosomal RNA, 484 nt
Filed under: uncultured bacterium
Lineage: Bacteria
Description: partial 16S ribosomal RNA
Rfam family: Bacterial small subunit ribosomal RNA
Source: RNAcentral
GAUGAACGCUGGCGGCGUGCUUAACACAUGCAAGUCGAACGGUGAAGCAGGAGCUUGCUCUUGUGGAUCAGUGGCGAACGGGUGAGUAACACGUGAGCAACCUGCCCCUGACUCUGGGAUAAGCGCUGGAAACGGCGUCUAAUACUGGAUAUGUGAUGUGACCGCAUGGUCUGCAUCUGGAAAGAAUUUCGGUUGGGGAUGGGCUCGCGGCCUAUCAGCUUGUUGGUGAGGUAAUGGCUCACCAAGGCGUCGACGGGUAGCCGGCCUGAGAGGGGGCCCGGCCACACGGGGACUGAGACACGGCCCAGACCCCUACGGGAGGCAGCGGUGGGAAAUAUUGCACAAUGGGCGGAAGCCUUAUGCGGCAACGCCGCGUGGGGGAUGACGGCCUUCGGGUUGUAAACCUCUUUUAGCAGGGAAGAAGCGAAAGUGACGGUACCUGCAGAAAAAGCACCGGCUAACUACGUGCCAGCAGCCGCCGUAA